CCUUACGGGGGGCAGUAGUGGGGAAUAUUGGGCAAUGGGCGCAAGCCUGACUCAGCAACGCCGCGUGAAGGAAGAAGGCUUUCGGGUUGUAAACUUCUUUUGUCAGGGACGAAGCAAGUGACGGUACCUGACGAAUAAGCCACGGCUAACUACGUGCCAGCAGCCGCGGUAAUACGUAGGUGGCAAGCGUUAUCCGGAUUUAUUGGGUGUAAAGGGCGUGUAGGCGGGAAUGCAAGUCAGAUGUGAAAUACCGGGGCUCAACCCCGGGGCUGCAUUGGAAACUGGCAGGCUGGAGUGCCGGAGAG
RNAcentral lists this ribosomal RNA (305 nucleotides) under uncultured bacterium. Its description in RNAcentral is "bacterial SSU rRNA". It matches the Rfam family "Bacterial small subunit ribosomal RNA", at positions 337 to 656 of the family's 1533-position model. The record is from RNAcentral.